AUUGAACGCUGGCGGCAGGCCUAACACAUGCAAGUCGAGCGGAGCGGCGGACGGGUGAGUAAUGCCUAGGAAUCUGCCUGGUAGUGGGGGAUAACGUCCGGAAACGGGCGCUAAUACCGCAUACUAUCAGAUGAGCCUAGGUCGGAUUAGCUAGUUGGUGGGGUACAGGCCUACCAAGGCGACGAUCCGUAACUGGUCUGAGAGGAUGAUCAGUCACACUGGAACUGGGACACGGUCCAGGCUCCUACGGGAGUCAACAGUGGGGAAUGUGGGACAAUGGGCGAAAGCCUGAUACAGCCAUGCCGCGUGUGUGAAGAAGGUCUUCGGAAUGUAAAGCACUUUAAGUUUGGAAGCGUUACCCGCAGAAGAAGCACCGGCUCACUCCGUGCCAGCAGCCGCGGUAAUUC
This 407-nucleotide ribosomal RNA is filed under the name uncultured bacterium. RNAcentral describes it as "partial 16S ribosomal RNA". It matches the Rfam family "Bacterial small subunit ribosomal RNA", at positions 30 to 526 of the family's 1533-position model. The record is from RNAcentral.